Molecule: ribosomal RNA, 499 nt
Filed under: uncultured Glomeromycotina
Lineage: Eukaryota; Fungi; Glomeromycota
Description: partial small subunit ribosomal RNA
Rfam family: Eukaryotic small subunit ribosomal RNA
Source: RNAcentral
CCAAUAGCGUAUAUUAAAGUUGUUGCAGUUAAAAGGCUCGUAGUUGAAUUUCGGGAUCAGUACGCUGGUCAUGCCUUUGGUAUGCACUGGUGUCACUGGUUCCUCCCUUCUGACGAACCGUCAUGCCAUUUACUUGGUGUGGCGGGGAAUCAGGACUGUUACUUUGAAAAAUUUAGAGUGUUUAAAGCAGGCUCACGCUUGAAUACAUUAGCAUGGAAUAAUGAAAUAGGACGUUGAUCUUAUUUUGUUGGUUUCUAGGAUUGACGUAAUGAUUAAUAGGGAUAGUUGGGGGCAUUAGUAUUCAAUUGCCAGAGGUGAAAUUCUUGGAUUUAUUGAAGACUAACUACUGCGAAAGCAUUUGCCAAGGAUGUUUUCAUUAAUCAAGAACGAAAGUUAGGGGAUCGAAGACGAUCAGAUACCGUCGUAGUCUUAACCAUAAACUAUGCCGACUAGGGAUCGGAUGAUGUUAAUUUUUUAAUGACUCAUUCGGCGCCUUACG